GUCUUUCGCCAUACCACCAUGAACUGCCCAUCUCACCCACCCUACCCUUUGGAAGCUAAGCAGGAUUGGGCCUGGUUAGUACUUGGAUGGGAGAUCACCUGUAAAUACCAGGUGCUGUAGGCU
This 123-nucleotide ribosomal RNA is filed under the name Prolemur simus (greater bamboo lemur). Lineage: Eukaryota; Metazoa; Chordata; Mammalia; Primates; Lemuridae. The record is from RNAcentral.